Molecule: long non-coding RNA, 821 nt
Filed under: Linum usitatissimum (flax)
Lineage: Eukaryota; Viridiplantae; Streptophyta; Magnoliopsida; Malpighiales; Linaceae
Description: long non-coding RNA (LUSI_LNC008146)
Source: RNAcentral
GAAAAUAUGGAAUAUAUAAUAUUUGAAUGCAAAUGGCAAUUAUUAAAUAGCUGUAGAAAUAAAUAAAAUGAGCAAUUGACUAAUACACGUCAGCACGUGACUCCACCUUUAUAUAAUAAUAAUUUCCCCGUUGCCCCUGUCCAUCUCACAGUCGCAGUCCAACUCCAACUCACAGAAAAAAUUGCAGCGAAAUCUCUCUCUUUAAUCUUUAUAUAUCUGCUCUCCCGUGGAUCAGAGUUUCUCUCUAUCUCCGAAUGUUUCGCUCGAUUCUGUUGAGAUUUUUCCUGCUCUUAAUAGAUUGUGGAAACCCUAAGCUGGCUGCUCUGAUCACCGUUUAGGAAGGGGAAGACGAACACUCUUCUCUGGAAUCCUUUUCUGAAUCAAACUCCCCUUCUUUCCCCCAUUUAUAAAUAUACAUUAGAGAGAGUGGCGAAGUGGAGAAGGGAGUGAGAGGAAGAGGUGACGAAGCGUAUUGCUGUAUGUCAGUAGAUUGUAAAGAGUCUUACCUUGGUGGAAUUGGUGAGCUUGCGAAUCCCUUGCAAUGGCCUCAGCUCAGGAAAAAGCGAAGAUUCCUUCCUCUUCUUCUUCUUCUUCUAAUUCUGCCUGCUGUGGUGGAGAUUCCCGUUCUGUUAUUCCCCGUCAGGCUUCUGUCACUCAGUCCCCUGUUCCUGAGAAUGCCGUCCAGGAUUGGACUGUUCCUCCCGCCGAUCGUCGCCGGAGAGACGAUCAGAUCGGCGUCAAGGCUAUCACGCCCUUGAUUGCUCCUCCGGUCGACUCCCUUCCUGAAUCUUCAGCCAAUUUGGCCGCCAAAGGUACUCCCC